This 253-nucleotide ribosomal RNA is filed under the name uncultured bacterium. RNAcentral's name for it is "partial 16S ribosomal RNA". It matches the Rfam family "Bacterial small subunit ribosomal RNA", at positions 524 to 776 of the family's 1533-position model. The record is from RNAcentral.
UACGGAGGGUGCAAGCGUUGUUCGGAAUCAUUGGGCGUAAAGCGCGUGUAGGCGGCUUGGCAAGUCGGGUGUGAAAUCCCGGGGCCCAACCCCGGAACUGCAUUCGAAACUGCCUCGCUAGAGUCCCGGAGAGGAAGGCGGAAUUCCCGGUGUAGAGGUGAAAUUCGUAGGUAUCGGGAGGAACACCAGCGGCGAGGGCGGGCUUCUGGACGGUGACUGACGCUCAGACGCGAAAGCGUGGGGAGCAAACAGG